Molecule: ribosomal RNA, 449 nt
Filed under: Sinoluperus subcostatus
Lineage: Eukaryota; Metazoa; Arthropoda; Insecta; Coleoptera; Chrysomelidae
Description: partial 16S ribosomal RNA
Source: RNAcentral
UUUUGAUUAUAAUUAAAGGUUUAACCUGCCCACUGAGGAUUUUAAUGGCCGCAGUAUUUUGACUGUGCUAAGGUAGCAUAAUAAUUAGUUUUUUAAUUAAAAACUAGUAUGAAGGGUUGGACGAAAGAAAAUCUGUCUUUAAUUUUAUAGUUAGAAUUUUAUUUUUAAGUUAAAAAGCUUAAAUUUUAUUAAAAGACGAGAAGACCCUUUAGAGUUUUAUAUGUAUAUAAUUGUUAUUAAUUUAGAAAUUAAUAUAAAUAAUUAUAUAUUUAUUUGGUUGGGGUGAUUGAAAAAUUUAUUUAACUUUUUAUUAAAUUUAAAUAUAAUUAUAUAAGUUAUUGAUCCAAUUUUUUUGAUUAUAAGUUUAAAUUACCUUAGGGAUAACAGCGUUAUUUUAUUUGAGAGUUCAAAUCGAAAAUAAAGAUUGCGACCUCGAUGUUGGAUUAAAA